Long non-coding RNA from Mauremys reevesii (Reeves's turtle), 168 nucleotides. RefSeq lists it as uncharacterized. The transcript is spliced from 3 exons. Lineage: Eukaryota; Metazoa; Chordata; Testudines; Geoemydidae. The record is from RefSeq and is a predicted model, not a curated record.
CUGCAGGAGGUGCUGCUGGGAUUCAAAGAGACGCUGCGCCGGGGGCUGGGGAGCGACGCAGCCAUCCCGAUGAUGAUUAAUUUCUGGGAAACAUCCUCAGCAGAAUUAUUUGAAGGUGUUGCACCAGACAGUAAUGGCGGCACAGAGGCAGUGGCUUGUGGGAAAGAG